CAGCCGCCGCGGGAAUACGGAGGGCGCGAGCGUUACCCGGAUUUACUGGCGUAAAGGGCGUGUAGGCGGCCUGGGGCGUCCCAUGUGAAAGGCCACGGCUCAACCGUGGAGGAGCGUGGGAUACGCUCAGGCUAGAGGGUGGGAGAGGGUGGUGGAAUUCCCGGAGUAGCGGUGAAAUGCGCAGAUACCGGGAGGAACGCCGAUGGCGAAGGCAGCCACCUGGUCCACUUCUGACGCUGAGGCGCGAAAGCGUGGGGAGCAAACCGGAUUAGAUACCCGAGUAGUCCCUGUCUCUUAUACA
RNAcentral lists this ribosomal RNA (301 nucleotides) under uncultured bacterium. Its description in RNAcentral is "partial 16S ribosomal RNA". It matches the Rfam family "Bacterial small subunit ribosomal RNA", at positions 509 to 808 of the family's 1533-position model. The record is from RNAcentral.